Helianthus annuus (common sunflower) is the source of this 1842-nucleotide long non-coding RNA. RefSeq lists it as uncharacterized. The record is from RefSeq and is a predicted model, not a curated record. NCBI's taxonomy places the organism in Eukaryota, Viridiplantae, Streptophyta, Magnoliopsida, Asterales, Asteraceae. The transcript has 2 exons.
AGGGCUCUCUUGCUCAAAACCUUAAUCCCUCAAGAAUCUCUCAAAUUGAAGCCCAAAUCAAGAGCCAAAUCAUUGCAUGAACACAAAUUCGAGAUCACCUAGUCAUGGGGAUUACAAGUUGGCGCUUAAACAAGCUAGGUGAAGCUUGGAGUGAAAGCGGGUCAAACGAGUCAAGCAUAGAAGAAAAGCGUAGCUCGGAUGCAAGGUAAGUGUAAUUUACACACUUAUGUAGAAUGCUUGUUAUUUCGAUACUUAUGAACGUGAAAACAAUAAUAUUGGAAAUUUGGAAAAUUGUCAAGUGUUGACUUAUGUAAAUCAUGGUUAAAAGGAUACCCAUGGCGUAAGCCGAAAUGGGUUGAAACUGCAAGAAAAGAGUGUAAAAGAAAAAGGGUAUGGUUAUAAAACCCGGGAUGGGAUGAUGUACAAAUUGGAAAUCAAAAACGGUGUUUUUGAUUUAAAUAGACAAUGUUGGGCAUAUAGUCCAAACGGGUCGAAUGGUGGUGAUAACACCAUUUGACAAUAUCGACUAAUGUGGUCGUCAAGUCUUAUGUUAACAGGACUAAUUAGCAAAUCGGAUAGUUGCGUCAUCAUUGAUGGUGUGAUAAUAAAAGCGAGGCAUAAAUCGGGUCUAUUUGUUGAUCCGAGCCAGGUACGCAUAUUUAUGUUGUAGUUAAAAGUGAUAUUUUGGUCGAAUAUUUGGUGAGAGUCCUUCAUUGUAAAAGAAGGACCAAAAUCGACCAAAAACGCCCUUGUAGGCUAAAUUGAACAAACAACCCUUAGAGGUUGUUUGGAAACGAGUCUUAUGAUUAAACAAAAGCUUAGAACGAGUAUGAGUAGUGAAAAUGUAAUUCUUGGGUCGAAAGACUCCUUAUGAGUCUUUGCCGUAAAAUGAUAUUGCAAGGGGUAUAAUUCGGAACACAUAGAUAUCUACUUUAAAUCCAACACACAAUUAGUUGUGAUGGAAGAAUACUAUAUAAGAAAUAUAGGUUACAAUGCUAGAAUAGAAUAAAAGCGAUUGUGAGCCUAAAAGUGCUUAAAUACUCUUAAUGGGUCAAAAUAAGCAAUUAAGUGUAAACGGGAUUUUAUUAUAUAAGAAACCCGUGGUUUGAGAGUAAUAUGAUAGGAGAUAUUGAUAUAAUGAACCUCAUGAUUUUAAAGAUCAAAUAAGCAAGUUGGUGUGAUAAAAUCAUGAACGGGUCAAUAUUUGGUAAAAAGGGUAAUAAGCUGAAGAUUUAAAAGUCUUAAGUUUUGUUAAGCCGAAUGUCGGAUUUUAACUCCAUAUGAUGGAGAAUCAAAUUACAAACACGUAGGAAGAAACGGUAGGUCAAACAGACUAACGAUUAGAAAGAUACGAAAGUUUUCGUGUCAUUAAGCGGCAAAUGGAAAAGGCUGAAUACAGGGACCACCGUAACUUACGGUGUCACCGUAAGUUACGGUGGAGUUGAACUCUUUACGGCAGUCUCCCCCUGAGUUACGGUGGGGAAAGUCUUAAACAGAGACCACCGUAACUUACGGUGCCACCGUAAGUUACGGUGGAGGCAAACAUGAAAUGCAAUGUUUUGGAUCAAGAGAUUAUCCUUGGGAUUUCUUUCCAUUAUCAUUUAUCUUGAUUGGUACCGUUAUUUAAAGUAUCAAAACUAACUGUUGAGUUGGUUUUGAACACAGGUGUAUGCUGAGAGCCCGGAUGAAGAUCAAGCGUCAAGCUCGAUGAGGAACCGAACACAUGUUUAAUAAAGCUUCCGCAACGUUGUUGUGUCGUUAUUCUAAACGGCGAAUUAAAUCACAUUAUGUAUAUCGCUUAAAUUAUAAAAGUUUUUAACAAGCCCGUAUUUUCAUUAUAAU